UGCACAUCUCACAUCAAAGCCACCCACUCAAGCCCGGAGCAAGCAACACUCACUUAGUCCAGAGGCCACCCUCACUCCAACCAUCAGAUAACAGUACUAAGCAGAGGAGGAGACCUGCAUGGGUCAACAUGCAGUCAAUAACUUGUUAAUCUUUUACAGACUAAGUGGGAACUUCUAAAAGCUGGGCUGUUUGAUCCCAACCUGGAGGCUGCUUUUGUGCGUGUGUGCGUGGAGCUUAGGAUGGGGCGGGCGGCGUACCGAGGCCUGGAACGGUGAGCCAGGCGAGAAGUAAUGGCGGCUUCCAUUUCUCUGGGUUGCAGGGAUGACUGCUGCGGAUUCCAGAAGGGGCUUAGUUACGAGCACGUCUCGCAGCGUCUUGCGGCCACGGACGCUGUUUAUCUAGGCACGACGGUACAGAGGAUAUGCUCUUUAAACAUGGCAGACUGCUCCUGUGGCCAUGCUGGCUUGGAGUGGCACUCAACGCUCUUAGCUACAAAACCACAUCCACAAUUCAAUUGAGAGCUUCGAGGACGGGAGGGGAAAAAUAAAAAAGUGGGAGGAGGAAAAGGAGGCAAUCAUUGCUUUAAUACAACACUUCAACGAAAUUCGGCUUCUAUGGAAUCGGUGUAACCAAGGUGACCACGAGGUCACGUCCAUACAAUAAGGAUGGAACAGCACGCUAUUACUAGGCCCACGCGGUACCCACACACAUAUCUAAUGCUGAGAGUAGAAUGAAUCUGUGGAAAGAGUUAAAUAUAGUCAAAUGUGUGAAAUAAGCUGAAAACCGUAACAAAUUAACCAAUGUAUGCAAUAAACAAAUGAAGAAGCAGGAAACUUAUAAAACAAUUAAUAAUACUUGGGAGAAUUCUUCGAAAAUCCUAAGAGCAUUUCUUCGAACACUACGUCUAAGAAAUAAAGCUCUCAAACCUGAGUUAGUGAUUUUUAAGUGACAAUUUCAUCUCAAGGAAUGAAAAAACACUGCAACCACAUAAAAACACAAUAGCAGCACAGCGAACACUCACAAGUAAACACCAAACCAAUUGUUAAAAUAUAAAAAUGUAGGUGGAAUAAACUUCUGAGAUUAGUCCGGUCUCUCAGAUCUCUCUCAAUUUUUUAGAAACAAACCGCCUUUGUUAAUUUAGAUGAUGCCUAAAAGUACAGUGAAACCUGUUUCACACUCAGAUGUGGAAAAUACGUCUCUUUUUAAAGCUCGGUCAGCCUAAAGCAGAUGUGCUUUAUGUAAAAGCACCAGACAAAUUAGUUAAAUCGCAAUCUCUAGAUAAGAUACAGACUGUAGGAAGCAAGAAGUUAAUCCUUUCUUAUAAUUCCUGUUCCUUUCUCUGCUCUCUUUCAUUUUAAAGGCUUUCGCUGGCUAAUUAAUCCUAUGAAACACUCACCAUAUCAAACCAAGUUUCACAAUUAUUUAUGCUGUGCUUAAGUAAAUGCGGUUCAUUUGUCAAACAAGCUUAAGAGUUUCUCAGGACAAUGCACGAUUCAUCACACCCAAGGUGUUUGGGAAAGAAGCCCUGGAUCCUUUUUGCAAAUCUGGGGGAACUUUUAAGGCUAAAACCGACUGGCUCGGUAAACUAACACAAGCGUUGAAAAGUUUAAAAGCAUAAAGCUGUCAGCAAAAAUGUGGUCCACACAGGCAAUCCUUCCUACAAAAACAAACUAGACACUGGUGGUGACCCAGAGAAGGAGCCUCGGACCAGGAAUCUGCAAAGAGGAAUGAAGGGGGGAUUUGAGAGGAUGUUUCCAUUGAAACCAAAGCAUCCGAAAAAAAGCAUCUGACCAGAAUUUUACAGCUACAAACUGAGAGACGGACUUCCCAUGACACUGCUUUUAUCACCUUUUGGAAACAUCAUUAAAAACGCAGCCAGCGGCAGACAAUGUUAUUGUUGUACUAAAAUGCCUAUGUUGAUAUGUCUAGAACUGAAUAUUUUGUAUAUUCUGUAUCUCCUGUAAAAUAUUGACUCUUAAAAAAGUAAAAACCCCAAAAUGUA
Long non-coding RNA from Triplophysa dalaica, 2003 nucleotides. RefSeq lists it as uncharacterized. The record is from RefSeq and is a predicted model, not a curated record. Lineage: Eukaryota; Metazoa; Chordata; Actinopteri; Cypriniformes; Nemacheilidae. The transcript has 2 exons.